This 2362-nucleotide long non-coding RNA is filed under the name Mus musculus (house mouse). RNAcentral's name for it is "RIKEN cDNA 4930422C21 gene". Lineage: Eukaryota; Metazoa; Chordata; Mammalia; Rodentia; Muridae. The record is from RNAcentral.
AUACAGCUGGGGAUUUGAGCCAGAAGCCCGCACCUCCUCUCAUUACCCUGUAUCAGAAUUCUUCUCAUCUCCUCCCUUCUGAGAGGCCUCACAGACAGCUCAGAUAGACGGGGACUGAGCCUGGAUGGUAAGUUAGAUGAUGUUCUCCAGAACUUUUGGAAAUCACAGGGUGGGAGAGCCUCGCUGGUCUCCCAACAAUGCUCUUAAUGAGCAAUUUACCGCCACAGGCUGCACAUGUGCGGGAUCCAAAAACACAGGCUGGCUGCCGCACAUUUGGUGUCCUUGUUUGGUGUCUGCGUGCAACUUGAGAUUUCCAAAUGCCACCAGAGGAAGCAGAUGAGUGGCUUCCCUCCGGCUUUAUAGAUUCGGGGCCGAGGCAUGCUGAAUGCUGGCCUCAAGUCACACGGUAAGCUGACGAGCGCUUCAGCGCACUCAGAGAGAGUGCCAUUUCUCCAAAUAGAAAGGGGUUUGACGUGCAGCUGAAGCCAGCGUUUUGACUGCAUUGAAUAAUGCCUCAGGAACUAUUUCUUUCCUGCGUUUAACAAAUAUGGAGCACCUAUGAUUGCUUUGAAUCGCUGUUAGGUAAAGUAUAGGCAUAUAGGGAGCAACAGGAUAGUCACAGCACUUGUAAAAGUGUCCUUGUUGCCACCUGGCCAUUGCCCUCCUUCCUGUUUUCCCUUCAAUCUCAGCACGUCCUGACCCAAUCCUGAUAUAAUCCACCUGGCUUGCAUACUGACUUGGACUACAGCCCCUCUGGAAAAUUCUGAUCCGGUGCUCACAGGGACCUUGUUGCCUUCAGUCUCCAGGUGAUAGCUUAUAGGCGAAUGUGGGAAACAUGGACAUCCCUCAUGAUGACUGACUUGGGGAGUUUUAAGAUGCAGUCUGGGCUGCAUUCAGAUGCUGAGUGCAAAAGAGUGGAGUCAGACACGAUGCUCAUAAGCUCUUUGGCAAAUGGGAAAUGACCGCUCUAUAGUGCUUAGCCCCGUUUCUGGACCAAAGCAACCUGCGUUAAUUGUGGUUUUUUGAACCUUUCAUCAACCUACUCACAUAUAGGAAGGAUGACAGAAACACUCAGAAUUAUUUAUCCUGUUUUACAUUUAGGAUCUCUAACAUUUAAUUUUUGUUAUAUAGUCCAUUUAUUUGUUUGGGGGAGCAGGGGCCUGCCAUUGCACACAUGUAGUAGAAAUCAGAGAACUUGUGGAAUAAAUUCUCCCCUUCUAACAUGUGGGUCCUGGGCCUCAAAUUCAGACAGUCAGGCUUGGUAGCAAUACCCUCACUUACAGAGCCCCCUCUCCAGCCUACCUUUUCCCUUCUUGACUAAUGCUCUCAGAAAAGCAUCUUAAUUUUUUUCCUUCCCAUUGCUACAAUCUCUCAAAGAUAUACUUAAUGGUUUAUAUAUAUAAUGGGCUGGCAGAACCCUGUUUGCCCAGUCACUUAGUUAACAGUACUUAAACUGUAGGCACUGUAUAACUGUUUUCCAACAGAUAAAUUAAGUGCGGUCUUGUGUAAUGAAUGAGGACAGAGCUGGACAGAGAGAAACAAGGAGAAAGAACAUUUGAAAAUGUUGGGGGACUUUCAAGUUCACAGUGGAAGAAAGAUUGGAGCUUCAUCCAUGGGCGUGAAAGAGGGUGUUUCUGGUGGAAACAAUUGCUAGAAUGAAUUCAGAGGAGAUACUGGUCUCGUGCAGUGGAACUGUGGUAGAAGAGCUUACCAGGAGUGAUCCUGAAAGAUAUUAAGUGUGAAUGAAUGCACAAUGAGGUCGUGAGGAGCUAGAUUUUUCUGUCCCAGAAAGAAGGCAGAGUUCCCCUCAAACUUUCCCACCUACCUAUAACUUGUAACAACAUAGCCAGGCCUGGUGGUGCUGCCCUGCUAUCUCACCUACCCAGAAGCUGAGGCAGGAGGAUUGCAACAUCAAGGUCUGAAUGCACAGUGCAGUAAGUUUAAGAACAUCCCAGGAAACUUAGUGAGGAACCUGCUUCAAGAUUAAAAAGUCAAAAAGAGACUAAGUUUUGCAUUAUUUUCAUUUCCCCUUACAUCAUCUGGAAUAUGGUGAGAAAUGCAGUGAACUCUGAUCUCUGGACAUGGGGAACACCGACCUCUGGACAUGGCAUGGGUAUUGUUCUUAUAAAUUCACAGCAGCUGUAGUUAGUCGCACAAGACCCACAUAAGAAGAGUCUAGUCAAAAGUUCAGAAUAGUGGAAGAGAGGAACUCAUGAGCCCAGAUCUUUGUCCUGUUCGUUCUGAGAUUGCUGAACACAUAUGCUGUGUGACUAACUGCUCUCCAGUCCCUGCUGCUAUGCCUUCCCUUCAAUGAUGGAGUGUAUCUCCCAAAAGUGUAAGUCAGAAUAAACAUUUCUACCCU